Molecule: long non-coding RNA, 1108 nt
Organism: Sitodiplosis mosellana (orange wheat blossom midge)
Lineage: Eukaryota; Metazoa; Arthropoda; Insecta; Diptera; Cecidomyiidae
Exons: 3
Source: RefSeq, a predicted model, not a curated record
GUUGUAUUGUGUACUGUUUUCUUAGAAUUGUUCUUCUUUCGUUGCGUACUGGUCUAACCAACUUGCAAGGCUCGUAUUGAACAUGAAAUGUCAGAACACAAGCCAAGCGAAGUGAAACCGUCUCUCUCAUUUGACAAUUUGUGUCUGUUGUUGUUCAUAAAAUGUGUACAACAAUUUCAGAGCGUGUGCUUCAGUAUCAAUUUGAAGGGUGAAAAAGAUGUUUUUCGCAAAAAAUUGCUUUUAUCGCGAAUUCCGCUAUUUUCUCCCAUCAUUAUUAUUGUUCACAUAGAUCUAUUACGUUGCAGUGAAUCAAUCAAUGGCAUAAACGACGAAAGGGCAUUGAAUUCAUGAGCUCAUGCGGUUCGUGAGCGAUCCAUCGAGAUUUUUUUUUCCUACCAUUUACUGAGUGAGCCAUUCUAGCUGAAAGCAGUUUGGGGAGCGACAAAACCGAAAAAAACACCACCAACACCACCGCCACUGAUGGGAAAGCGUGGAGUUCAUUGUUGCAUUAGCAAUUGACUUUCUUACAUAUCGAGCUCAACAUCGACCUUGUCGAACAUCUCAAUUGCGACACAGUAACAAAAAGUAUAGCAUUAUGGCGACAUUUAAGGCAAUAAUUUAUAGUUUGACAAAAAAUGUACCUAGUUACGUGUUUUGCUUAAUGAACAUGUUGACCACUUAUUAAAAGGCAGAGAAAUUUUUUUUUGUCAUUGCAGAUGAAGCGGUGUGAGUGACUCUUGCAGAGAAAUCCACUGUAAUGUAAUAUCAUAACAUACGAAACGGAACGAAACUUGGUGAAAAUUGAGUUUUACGAGUAGCCGCCAACAAAACGUAAAACGGAGACGAAACGACAACACUCAUACACACCCACGAAAAAAAAAUUAUCAUCGUUUACACAGAGAAUACACUAGCGCAAUACCAAAUUCGACACAGAGUAGUAAAAUUGUUAAGUCCAAAUGUGCAGUGAGUGCACACUGCACACUGCACUCUGCAUAAACAAAUAGAGAGUUGUGGAAAAUUUUAAUUGGAAUUUAUAACAGCGUUAUUUAAUUUAAUUGUUGGCUUUAUAAAACUAAUAAAAUUAUGAGGUUGUUCAUAUUCGUCCCCA